Molecule: long non-coding RNA, 6566 nt
Filed under: Sus scrofa (pig)
Lineage: Eukaryota; Metazoa; Chordata; Mammalia; Artiodactyla; Suidae
Description: lncRNA (ENSSSCG00000052089.1)
Source: RNAcentral
GACAGCUCCUUCUCUGUUGCAUUUAUUCAGUGGAUUCAUUUCCUUGAUGCAAAGCAUCUGUAUUUGUUGGUGUUGCCUUUUGAGCGAUGUCUCUGACUUGUUUGUUUUGAAUUACAUUACAGGCUGGAAUGUAAUUGUGGCAAAAGUAUUUUUGUGGAGCCGAGAGUAGCAGCUGAUCACAGUUACAUGCUUCAGAGGAUUUAUAAUUGCUUGGUUUUGUACAUGUGUGUUUUUAACUGCAUUUGAGAAGCUUUAAGGAAGAGAAUUUGCAUGAUUUUAAUGUGUAAUUGUGUUAUGUGUACCUUCUCUUCAAUUUCACCUACUGUAAAAAUUAUCUUCUCAUUGAGUUUUAGUGCUUUGACUAGUUUAUUCCUUUUUUACUUGGUCACAGUUUAGUUCUGCCCCCUAUGCUUUUCUGCAAGUAGACUUCAUUGCACUUAUUGUCUUAUUUUCUCAGGGAGUAUUUGUAGACAAAAAAAACAAAAAAAAAACCAAAACCUGAAAGCUUUUUUCUGGAGAGUACCACCCAGUAAGUCUGGCCAAGCAUCAUUAUGUCAAGAAUGUUCCUGGUAAACAUUUGUUACAUAAAAGUAUUGAUUGAAAUUUGGGGAAAAAUGAAAAACACCAUGAAAAGGGGACUAUCUAGGAUAAAAAGCCAAAGCCAAAAAUAGUAUCUAGGUAUUUUUUUGGCCAUGCCUGAGGCAUGUAUAAGUUCCUGGGCCAGGGAUUGAACCUGUGCCACAGCUAUAACCAGAGCCACAGCAGUGACAACGCUGGAUCCUUAACCCACUGAGCCACCAGAGGACUCCCAUAUCUGGGUAUUUUAAUUCAGAGAUAGUUUCUACCAAAAGGAUCAAGAUAAUAAUAAAACUAUAAACAGGGAAGGAUAGAAAAGACUUAUCAAUAUACAUGUGUUCUGUCUUUGGUGUAGUUUGGAGUGUGGAUAAGUAUUUCAAAUUCUUAAGGAUGGCUAAAAAUUUUAAUUUGGUUGUUACCGUUUUGAUUCUGUCUCUCUAGGACUAGAUGUAUAGAAGAGUCUCUCCCACAUUGUCGGUCUGAGGCAUAGUUCCCUCCAUUGCUGUGGGGAACAGUCAGUUUGGACGGAGCACUGAAGACCGGAGGGCAGCACCUCCAGCACAGAUACAGGGCCUCUGUCGGGUCACGGCCAUGGAGGCCAUGACAGCAGUUAGCAGUGGUGGUGAGGCAUUGAGGACGUGUGAUGAGGGGAUCCGGCUUCCUGAGUCGCACAUCCUCUGGCUCCUUAGACAUGGCUUCAAAUAUUAAGAUGCUCCAGUUUGAAAAGUGGAAUCCAAUGGACUGAUACCCAUGAAGUGUGUCAAGGACACCAGCUGAGAGGAUCGUUUUGUGUAUGAGUGAAUGUUGCCAGUUGUGGGAUGCACGAAGUUUUUAGAACCACAGCUUUGUUUAGAGAAAUUAGUGGGAAGUGACUGCAUCUAAGUUGUUAGAGUAGCCAGUGUUUACUGGUCUGUGCCCCGGACUCUGCUGGGAAUGGGUGGUGUGUAAUGCUUUGGCAGGCUUCAAUCACUGAUAAAAGAUCAUGUUAAAAUAUCUUUGUGCUUUCCUGUGACUUGGCGCAAGUAUCCCUUCCUGUGUUGUAUUUGGAAUAUCAUGGAGAGAAAACAGAUAGCCAAGAACUUCAGUGUAGGCAAGAACUGUUAAUUUUCCUUUAAACUCUAUUUGGAAAUAAUUUAAGCUUAGAGAAAAGUUGCAAAAAUACCUAUACAUCUUUUAUUUUUUGAACCUAUUAACAUCUUUUACCUUUAGCUUUAUCAUUUGAUCUCUCUUUAUCCUCUCUCUCUCUAAAAUAUGUGUGUGUGUGUGUAUAUAUGUGUGUUUUUCUGACCCAUUUAGUAGAAAGUUAUAUACAUCAUACAUUCUUAUAUGCUUCUUAUAUUACCCUGGCAUAGUUAAUUGACUUCAGUAAAUUUAACAUUAGUAUAAUACUUUUAUUUAAUAUAUCAUUUAUAUUCCGAUUUUGUCAAUUGACCCCAUAACAUCCUUUAGAGAAUUGUCCCCACCCCCCUGUGCAUCGAAUCCAUUUUAAGAUCAGAUAUUGCAUUUGAUUGUCAUGUAUCUUUAGUUUCUUUUGUUUUAGAACAUUUCCACAGCCUUUGCUUCUGUGACAUUGACAUUUUAAAAAUAUUACAGUCCUCUGCCCGCCCCCCUUUCUUUUUUUGUAAGUGUUUCCUUAUGAUUAGAUUAGGUUAUGCAUUCUAGGUGAUGUUAUGUUUUUCUCCGGGUGUCACACCUGGAGGCCCCCAAAGGCCAUCUGUCCCUCUUUAGAGAUGUUAAUUUUGGUCACCUGGUGAAGGCAUUAUCUAAUUUCUUUGCUGUGUAAUUAUUAUUUUUUCUCCCUCCCUUGCAAGGAAUAAGCAGUGUGGGGAGAGGAACUGUUAAAUUUUUAAAAGAAAAUGUACUUGACAUUGAUGGAAAGGAGGGGAAGAAAGUUAAUGAUAUGUAUUUCAAAGCAAUUGUUAAAUUGAUUGCAUUCUUCCUCUUUUAGUAUGUCUGCCAAAAUUUACAAAAUUCUUUUCCUAAUAAUAUUUUAAGUAGGGAUGUCUUAAAAAAAUCAACAGGAAGCCUCAGGCAUAAGCUCUCUUCUAUCUUUUCCUUAGCAAAACCGAUAAUUAUGUCAAUUUAGUUUAAUUUACCUGCAAAGGUAAGGGUUUUGGAAAAAUAAGUCUAAGAUGUUUCUGGUUUCACAGGUUGCUGAGAGUGAUCCAAGAGGAUGUGUAACUCCUCUAUAGGUUGUCAUUUGGCCGUAAAAUGUGAGUUCUCUUGGGUUUCCAUAGAGAUGUCUAGAUUUAAAAUAUUUUAAGCACUGCUACUUUCAAAAUGAGUGUCAGUAAAAAUAGCUAAAGCCAAGGCUCUUUUUAAAAAAUUAUUAAACAUUUUUAAAAAGUAGUGAGGUUCCUGGUUAAAAAUUCAUGUUGAAGCCAAAGCUUGUCCUUCCCAAUCGUUCUGCAUCAACUGGCCUUGAAUAGCCCUGGGGAGAAGAGGCAUCAGGAAUUGCUUUCCCGGCCUUUUGGCAAAGGAAUGAGACUACAUUGACUUCAUCUAUGAAGACAACUGCCAACUAUUUUCCUACUCUGUAAAUUGUUAAUUGUGUGUGGUGAGGAAAGGGGUGAUGGCUGACGCUAUUAUUUUUAUGGGUACGACUGGCAUAGGUUCUGGUGAAAGUUUGACAUCUUCAGAAUCUUAUGUUUUUUCAAGUUGGGCUAAUAAAAACAGGCCCCUGGGAGUAUUUCUCACCUGAUUUGUACAUGACCAUUGGGCUCAAUACCAUGUAUCCAUGACUACUAGGGAGACUUCGUGAUGUGGUUGAAGCCCAUGAACUUGGGCGUCUAGAGCAGGUACUGGCAAGCCCAGCUUGCUGCCUGUUUGGGUACCACUCAUAAGUCAAAUUGAUUUUGUGUCUUUAAAGGGUUGAAAAAAAUCAAAAGGAGAUUUUAAUGACUCGAACAUAUGAAAUUUCAAUUUCAAUGUCUGUAAAUUAAUUUUUAUUGGAACACAGCCAUGCCCAUUUAUUUCCAUAUUGCCCGGGGCUGCCUCUGUGCUACAGUGGCUCAGUCGAGCAGCAGUGACAGAGACCUAUGGUUCCCACAGCCUAAAAUCUUCGGUGUCUGGCCCUUUAGGAAAAUAUUUACUGCCCCCUGGUCUAGAGAAUAUAAAAUGUUGAAGUUGGAUUUCUAAGGUGCUUAUUCAAGUUUUGUGACUUUGGAACUGAAUCAUGUGGUUCAUUGUGCAGCUGUGCUGAAUUGCUUCAGUACCAUGAUUCUUUUUUAAAAGUCAGUUUAUAAAUACAAAAGAGAGAUCCAAGACACUAAAAUAUUUAUUCUGGCUUAAAAUAUUUUGUUUCCAUAUAUACACUUUAAGAGGGUGGCAAGGAGAAAAGAUAAUUUAUCAUUUUAUUUGGGUUUAGAAUAAAAACAUACAUUUUAUUCAUGAUCAUCAUAUAAAAAUAUUAUCAAGUGUGUAUCACUUUUAGGAGCACUUACUAAAAUGUCAGAAAUCUGCUGCACCCUUUAAAAAACCAGGACUUAAACAGAAACUAUCUCCAUGCCACCCCCAUCACUGUGCCUUCCCCAAUUUCCUUGGGGAACAGGUUAGGGAACCCUUUGGUGCUAGUUUGAGGAAAAGACAAAAAAAUAAAUAUGUGUUAGAUAUUUUGUGUAUGUGUUUUUCAACCUGGUGUUGAGCUCAGAACAAAGCCUUAGGUGUAAUAGAUCAAUGUUUUAAUUCUAAACUUCGUGGUGAAGAUUAUUUGAGGCUGACUUCAUGAAGAAGGAGAGACACUUGAGACACUUGCUUCCCUGAAAGGCAGUAGGAUUGGAAAAAGCAGGUGAGCAGGUGUGGGCAGCACACGCACUAUUAGAGUAGGGGGAAGGCAAGGAUGUGAAGCCCAGGGCCGUGAUGCUAGAGUCAAGUUAUGGUUAAGAUCCCCUACUUUCCAAGAAAGAGUCAUUUUUCACCCUCCCUCUCUCUCUCUCUUUCUCUCUCUUUUUUGGCCGUGACCACAGCAUGCAUAUGUUUCCAGGCCAGGGGAUCGAACCUGUGCCACAGCAGGAACCAGAGUCACGGCAGUGACCAUGUCAGAUCCUUAACCUGCUGAGCCACCAGGGAACUCCCUCCUCUUUCUGAUGCGAGUGAUUUCAUACUUGUUCCUGGAAUAUGUGUGGUUUGGGGUCGGGGAUGGCUAGGGACAAGGGUUCUGGCCCUACCGUCACCGAAGUACGGAGUCCGGAGUCACAUGUCACUAGGCAAGGGCUGUGGGGAUGUGAGUGUGUCAGUAAGCAGAAGCUAACAUUUACAUCAGUAUGUGCCAGGCUCUAUUCGUAUGCUGCCUCAUUAAUCCUCACAUCAGUCCUAUGAGUCAGGAGUUAUUCUCUCCACUUCACAUCAAGGAAACUGAGGCAUGGGGAGGUUAAGUAACCUGUCCAGGGUUGCGGAGCACUAAAUGAUCGAAUCAGUCAGAACGGGCUGGUUUAUGCCACGGGAACAACCUUCACGUUUUAGUGACUUGGGAAAAAGUGUAAUUCUCUCAUGCCGCACCUCUUGUCCAUCUCAGGUCAGGCCACGGGCUUGGGCUGCCAUCUGGAACCUCCUUGGUCCCUCUGGUGGGGAGAGAAGAGGAGAUGGCCAGCAGGGCUCUGGUAUCAGAACACAGCUUCCCAUUCAAUGUGUAGAUGAAUCGCCUGGGGAGCUUGAUGAAUGCACGCUGUGACUCAGAAGCUCCGGGAUGGGCCUGAGAUUCCACAAUUCCAGCAAGCUUCUAGGUGAUUCCUACGUUGCUGGACCAUGGACCACUCUUGAGGAAGGAGGGCUUUCCUGGCUGUUACCCAGAAGUGCCUCAUCACUGCUGCUCACGGGAGAAUUAAAGUAAAUCACAUGCACAUGCCAACUUCAAGGUGGCAGGAAAUGUAACCCAAACUCUACCUCAGGAGGAGGAGAAAUGGGAAUGCUUGUGAACAGCCCUCAUGAAGAGCAAAAAGCAUGAAGCUAGGAUAUGAAUUCAGACAGGGGUCUCCAGGGUGCUCUUAAUCAUCACUCCGCGGGGUCCUGGUGUGAGUCCAUUCACUGCGGAGAAAAGGAAGCACCGUGGCGGGCCGCUGGCGGGGUAGCCCUCAAGACUGAUCAGUUGCAAUUGACUUGUGUGACAAGAGUUGGGUGUCCCGGGCUGCUUCCUGUCAAAUGCAGCAGUUCUCAACAUGGUGUCGCAACUGUGAGAUGUUUCAAUCCAUUUUCUUAGUAAUGUGCUGACAUCUCUGAAUUAUUUAUUGCUUUAUUAUUUAAAGCAUACCUUAGAGUGGAGUCAAGUCUGUCCCUAUUACAUUCUCUCUCAUCUAAUAUUCUUCCAUGCUUUCUUGUUUUGGAGAAGGGGUGAGGUUAAAGACAGCAUCCAGGAAAUUGUGCAUGAGCCUGGGGACACCCACGGGUGUGUGUCCACACACCAUUCAUCAUGUGUGUUUGCUGCAAGUGCUGGAGGUGCUGGUCUGGAGGAGUCCUGGGCUUGUCAGCACAGCAAACUCCUUUCCCAGCUGGUGGUGGCUGAGAAGCAGCUUCUCGGAGCCUGAAGCCUAUACAGUUGCCUGGGAACUUCUGAGAUGGAAUUGUGGGACUGAGUUGGGAUUCACAUUAGAGUCUCUCUGUUUUGACUGCACCUGUGGCAUGUGGAAGUUCCCCAGUCAGGCACUGAACCUGAGCCACAGCAGUGACAAUGCUGGAUCCUUAACUGCUAGGCUACUAGGGAACUUCAUGUUGAGAGUCUUUAAAAGGAGAAAAGAGACCUGUGUUCUUUACAGCAUAGUGUCUAGUAAAUGUCACACCCCGUUUGAGCUCCCAGUACCACAGUAAGGCCAUGUUAACAAGAGAUGGACUAACUGUGGUAUUGGGAGCUCAAAGGAGCAGGCUGCUUUGCUAUUGGUUCCCAGGCUUAAGUGUAGAUGAACUGGUUUGAAACAUGGUUUGAAGCAAAGCCUCAUCCACCUUUUGGAAAACCUGACCUGCGAGUGAGACUUGGAAAGAAAUAAGGUUGUUCUUCCUCC